Molecule: ribosomal RNA, 253 nt
Filed under: uncultured bacterium
Lineage: Bacteria
Description: partial 16S ribosomal RNA
Rfam family: Bacterial small subunit ribosomal RNA
Source: RNAcentral
UACGGGGGGGGCAAGCGUUGUUCGGAAUUACUGGGCGUAAAGGGCUCGUAGGUGGCCAACUAAGUCGGACGUGAAAUCCCUCAGCUUAACUGGGGAACUGCGUCUGAUACUGGAUGGCUUGAGUUUGGGAGAGGGAUGCGGAAUUCCAGGUGUAGCGGUGAAAUGCGUAGAUAUCUGGAGGAACACCGGUGGCGAAGGCGGCAUCCUGGACCGGCAUUGACGCUGAGGAGCGAAAGCCAGGGGAGCAAACGGG